RNAcentral lists this ribosomal RNA (210 nucleotides) under uncultured bacterium. Its description in RNAcentral is "partial 16S ribosomal RNA". It matches the Rfam family "Bacterial small subunit ribosomal RNA", at positions 1291 to 1500 of the family's 1533-position model. The record is from RNAcentral.
GUUCAGAUCGCAGUCUGCAACUCGACUGCGUGAAGUCGGAAUCGCUAGUAAUCGCGGAUCAGCAUGCCGCGGUGAAUACGUUCCCGGGCCUUGUACACACCGCCCGUCACACCAUGAGAGUCGGGAACACCCGAAGUCCGUAGCCUAACCGCAAGGGGGGCGCGGCCGAAGGUGGGUUCGAUAAUUGGGGUGAAGUCGUAACAAGGUACC